GGUUCCAUGAUGUAGUGAUUAACACAUCUGCCUUACACACAGAAGGUUCUGAGUUUGAUUCCCAGUGGAACUG
Molecule: transfer RNA, 73 nt
Filed under: Felis catus (domestic cat)
Lineage: Eukaryota; Metazoa; Chordata; Mammalia; Carnivora; Felidae
Also listed under: 5 other names
Rfam family: tRNA
About the family: Transfer RNA (tRNA) molecules are approximately 80 nucleotides in length. Their secondary structure includes four short double-helical elements and three loops (D, anti-codon, and T loops). Further hydrogen bonds mediate the characteristic L-shaped molecular structure. tRNAs have two regions of fundamental functional importance: the anti-codon, which is responsible for specific mRNA codon recognition, and the 3' end, to which the tRNAs corresponding amino acid is attached (by aminoacyl-tRNA synthetases). tRNAs cope with the degeneracy of the genetic code in two manners: having more than one tRNA (with a specific anti-codon) for a particular amino acid; and 'wobble' base-pairing, i.e. permitting non-standard base-pairing at the 3rd anti-codon position.
Source: Rfam by way of RNAcentral